GGCCGACUAGCUCAGUUGGUUAGAGCGUCGUGCUAAUAUGGUGUUCCACUUAGAACAAAUAUUAACGCGAAGGUCUUGGGUUCGAUCCCCACGUUGGCCA
Marasmius tenuissimus is the source of this 100-nucleotide non-coding RNA. The record is from the annotation of a GenBank genome assembly. Lineage: Eukaryota; Fungi; Basidiomycota; Agaricomycetes; Agaricales; Marasmiaceae.